GCCAGUGUGGCGUAAUGGUUUGAAUAUUGGACUAUGACUCUGAAGACCAGGGUUCGAUUCCCCGAUGGGCC
This is a non-coding RNA of Phrynosoma platyrhinos (Desert horned lizard), 71 nucleotides long. Lineage: Eukaryota; Metazoa; Chordata; Lepidosauria; Squamata; Phrynosomatidae. The record is from the annotation of a GenBank genome assembly.